This is a long non-coding RNA of Gasterosteus aculeatus aculeatus (three-spined stickleback), 1777 nucleotides long. NCBI's taxonomy places the organism in Eukaryota, Metazoa, Chordata, Actinopteri, Perciformes, Gasterosteidae. The record is from Ensembl.
AUAGAAAAUAGCUGAUAAAUACUUCAGUGUGCUUUACUUAAGUACAGCUAUUUGUACAGCUUUGUACUCCCUCAAAACAGUUCAUUAGUUUUAUACGUUUUUGAGACUUUGCUGUUGAAGACUACAUAAACUACAGAUAAGACAUAAGAUGCAAAGGUAUAAGCAUGAAGGCAUUACCAGUAAUAUUUCCAUUAUUUAGGUAAGUAUUUAGCUUCCUCUUCUGUGUUUUAUUGUGGGUUUAAGGGGGUCAGAUCAGUCUCAAUAAUUGCAAAUGCACACAGUACAACUCUCAAUUGCAAAAAAUGAUGCGCACGGAACAAUUAACAAGUAUGUUAGAUUUACAAAUGCACACAGAAGGAUUUAUAAAGUGACUAGAUCCACAAAUACGUAUUUUCUCAGCUCAGCGGAUCAUCGACUCCUGCGCCGUGAAAAACCAUCCAAGCCAUCGGGAACUCGCAGAGGCCCACGAACCUCCUGCCGAGAGGGAGAACACCGCCAACAUCAACUUGGCCAACGUGGAGGAGCAGAGGGACCACUCGCUGCACCUGCGUGCCGAGCCCGAAAAGUGAGGUUCACCACGAUGGCUCUCCAGCGGAACGUCCACAAGAUCCAGUCCGCCAGGAGCCAGAUGGGGUACAUCUGCAUGGGUCGGAGGACCAGCAGAGGGCUCUGGUCCACUGCCAGUAGAAGCUGCAGGAGAACAUGAACUUUGAAGUACUGAAGCAUAAAGUUCUGUUGUGAUGAUCUUUUAUAUCCAGCCCCUCCUCUUCAUCAUUGCAGUUCAAGAUCAAGUUGACUGGGUAGUUUUGUUUCACAGCACAGAGCAGCUACCAUCAUACAUAGAAUGUUAAAGGCUGUAAGGACUAUUAAAAGAUGGGCGCAUGUUGAGAACCACUUUACUUUUACUAGUUUGACUUGAAAAGCAGUAAAACUCUGUAGUUCCCCGUAUUUCGUUCUCUUGCAUUCACUGCGCCACAUCGCUGUGUUGAUGCGGGUAAUUAAUUCAUGUCGUACAACAAAAGAAUGAGCUAAAUAGCAUUGAGGAACGCGGGAACGGUCAUGACGUAAAGACGGAUUUCUUUUCGGUUUCUUUUCAGAAAGUCAAACUUUUCUUUUUGUGUACCAUUAGGAUUUAUAAUUAUCCCCACAUGAGGAGACAGGUCUGCUAUGACAUGCUGCUGCCAUCGGACCGUGACCCAACAGAGGACCUGUGGAACAUAUGUCAAGUUGCACUGAAGCUCUAGUUUUUAUAAUCAUUUCCAGUCAUUUUUAAUCCAACGUUAUCUUCGCAUCUUGACACAAGAGUCGAUAAAGAAACACAAAAGAAAACCAAAGCAGCGGAUGACUUUUGGUCCUCCCGAACAAAAGAAUGUCUUUUCACUGCUGCUUUCAUGACCCGACAUGAAGUCGUGACCACAAAUGGGCAGGUGUUUAAACUAAGGGGCUAAUCAGGGAAGUGGGAACAGGUGUGCAGGUGGGUGCAGAACAUCAGGUGAUCGACGUUGGGGGCGGGACCGGAUCUAAACUGACAGCGGGGAAACAAAGCGUGCAAGAGAAGGAGAGGAGCCGUGCAACGACACGAGGAGACCGGAGCCUUCCGUCAAACGCGAAUGAAGUAACGCAAUCAUGUUUUCUAAAAGGAUUUGAGGUUUGAAUGGUGUUUUUAAAAUUGUUUUGAUCUUUUAUCUAACUUCUAACAGGUUGCAAUCUGUGCUACAUUUGGCUGGAAAUGUUAUGUUCGCACAAGAGAGAACAUUUUAAAUAGAUGUAGAUAUGC